This is a regulatory RNA element of Corynebacterium mustelae, 54 nucleotides long. It matches the Rfam family "L31-Corynebacteriaceae ribosomal protein leader". NCBI's taxonomy places the organism in Bacteria, Bacillati, Actinomycetota, Actinomycetes, Mycobacteriales, Corynebacteriaceae. The record is from Rfam.
ACUCAGGCACGAUCAAUAUUUAUUGAAGCGACCUGAAGUUUCAAUCCUGAGGGA